GUUCGGAAUUACUGGGCGUAAAGCGCGCGUAGGCGGACUGGAAAGUUGGGGGUGAAAUCCCAGGGCUCAACCCUGGAACUGCCUCCAAAACUAUCAGUCUAGAGUGUGGUAGAGGUGAGUGGAAUUUCAGGUGUAGCGGUGAAAUGCGUAGAGAUCUGAAGGAACAUCAGUGGCGAAGGCGGCUCACUGGGCCAUUACUGACGCUGAGGUGCGAAAGCGUGGGUAGCAAACAGGAUUAGAUACCCUGGUAGUCCACGCCCUAAACGAUGUCAACUAGGUGUAUGGAAUGUAUUUUCUGUGUAUCGAAGCUAACGCGAUAAGUUGACCGCCUGGGGAGUACGGUCGCAAGAUUAAAACUCAAAUGAAUUGACGGGGGCCCGCACAAGCGGUGGAGCAUGUGGUUUAAUUCGAUGCAACGCGAAGAACCUUACCUGGCCUUGACAUGUACGGAAGAUAGAAGAGAUUUUAUUGUGCCUUCGGGAACCGUAACACAGGUGCUGCAUGGCU
This 507-nucleotide ribosomal RNA is filed under the name uncultured Methylophaga sp. RNAcentral's name for it is "bacterial SSU rRNA". It matches the Rfam family "Bacterial small subunit ribosomal RNA", at positions 543 to 1050 of the family's 1533-position model. Lineage: Bacteria; Pseudomonadati; Pseudomonadota; Gammaproteobacteria; Thiotrichales; Piscirickettsiaceae. The record is from RNAcentral.